RNAcentral lists this ribosomal RNA (444 nucleotides) under uncultured bacterium. Its description in RNAcentral is "SSU rRNA". It matches the Rfam family "Bacterial small subunit ribosomal RNA", at positions 26 to 518 of the family's 1533-position model. The record is from RNAcentral.
AGAGCGAACGCUGGCGGCAGGCCUAACACAUGCAAGUCGAGCGCCCGUAGCAAUACGGGAGCGGCAGACGGGAUAGUAACACGUGGGAACGCGCCCUUCGGUUCGGAAUAACUCAGGGAAACUUGAGCUAAUACCGGAUACGCCCUUACGGGGAAAGAUUUAUUGCCGAAGGAACGGCCCGCGUCCGAUUAGCUAGUUGGUGAGGUAAUGGCUCACCAAGGCGACGAUCGGUAGCUGGUCUGAGAGGAUGACCAGCAUCACUGGGACUGAGACACGGCCCAGACUCCUACGGGAGGCAGCAGUGGGGAAUAUUGACAAUGGCGCAAGCCUGAUCCAGCCAUGCCGCGUGGAUGAUGAAGGCCUUAGGGUUGUAAAGUCCUUUUAACGGGAAGAUAAUGACGGUACCCGUAGAAUAAGCCCGGCUAACUUCGCGCCAGCAGCCGC